RNAcentral lists this ribosomal RNA (505 nucleotides) under uncultured bacterium. RNAcentral's name for it is "partial 16S ribosomal RNA". It matches the Rfam family "Bacterial small subunit ribosomal RNA", at positions 28 to 507 of the family's 1533-position model. The record is from RNAcentral.
GACGAACGCUGGCGGCGUGCCUAAUACAUGCAAGUAGAACGCACAGUUUAUACCGUAGCUUGCUACACCAUAGACUGUGAGUUGCGAACGGGUGAGUAACGCGUAGGUAACCUGCCUGGUAUCGGGGGAUAACUAUUGGAAACGAUAGCUAAUACCGCAUAAUAUUAAUUAUUGCAUGAUAAUUAAUUGAAAGGUGCAAUUGCACCACUACCAGAUGGACCUGCGUUGUAUUAGCUAGUAGGUGAGGUAACGGCUCACCUAGGCGACGAUACAUAGCCGAACUGAGAGGGUGAUCGGCCAAACUGGGACUGCGACCCGGCCCAGAAGCCUACGGGAGGGCGCAGUAGGGAAUCUUCGGCAAUGGAGGGAAGUCUGACCGAGCAACGCCGCGUGAGUGAAGAAGGUUUUCGGAUCGUAAAGCUCUGUUGUAAGGGAAGAACGGGUGUGAGAGUGGAAAGUUCACACUGUGACGGUAUCUUACCAGAAAGGGACGGCUAACUACGUG